Molecule: ribosomal RNA, 253 nt
Filed under: uncultured bacterium
Lineage: Bacteria
Description: partial 16S ribosomal RNA
Rfam family: Bacterial small subunit ribosomal RNA
Source: RNAcentral
GACAGAGGUGCCGAGCGUUAGGCGGAAUCACUGGGCUUAAAGCGUGUGUAGGCGGGGCGUUAAGGGCCUUGUGAAAUCCCACAGCUCACCUGUGGAACUGCUUGGCAUACUGGCGAUCUUGAGCCACUUAGGGGCAACCGGAACAAACGGUGGAGCGGUGAAAUGCGUAGAUAUCGUUUGGAACGCCAAUGGUGAAAACAGGUUGCUGGGAGUGUGCUGACGCUGAGACACGAAAGCCAGGGGAGCAAACGGG